Molecule: ribosomal RNA, 253 nt
Filed under: uncultured bacterium
Lineage: Bacteria
Description: partial 16S ribosomal RNA
Rfam family: Bacterial small subunit ribosomal RNA
Source: RNAcentral
UACGUAGGUGACCAGCGUUGUCCGGAUUUACUGGGCGUAAAGAGCGUGCAGGCGGUCGUUCAAGUCGGGUGUGAAAGCCCCCGGCUCAACUGGGGAGGGUCAUUCGAUACUGAUCGACUCGAAGGCAGGAGAGGGAAGUGGAAUUCCCGGUGUAGUGGUGAAAUGCGUAGAUAUCGGGAGGAACACCAGUGGCGAAGGCGGCCCCCUGGGCCGUACCUGACGCUGAGGCGCGAAGGCUAGGGGAGCGAACGGG